Molecule: ribosomal RNA, 668 nt
Filed under: uncultured Bacteroidota bacterium
Lineage: Bacteria; Pseudomonadati; Bacteroidota
Description: bacterial SSU rRNA
Rfam family: Bacterial small subunit ribosomal RNA
Source: RNAcentral
GCUUAACACAUGCAAGUCGAGGGGCAGCACAGAGAUAGCUUGCUAUCUUGGGUGGCGACCGGCGCACGGGUGAGUAACGCGUAUCCAACCUGCCCAUUACUCAGGGAUAGCCUUGCGAAAGUAAGAUUAAUACCUGAUGUUGUUAAAAACCCGCAUGAGUUUUUAACCAAAGAUUUAUUGGUAAUGGAUGGGGAUGCGUGACAUUAGGUAGUUGGUGAGGUAACGGCUCACCAAGCCCACGAUGUCUAGGGGUUCUGAGAGGAAGGUCCCCCACACUGGAACUGAGACACGGUCCAGACUCCUACGGGAGGCAGCAGUGAGGAAUAUUGGUCAAUGGCCGGGAGGCUGAACCAGCCAAGUAGCGUGAAGGAUGAAGGUUCUAUGGAUUGUAAACUUCUUUUAUACGGGAAUAAAACCUCCCACGUGUGGGAGCUUGUAUGUACCGUAUGAAUAAGCAUCGGCUAACUCCGUGCCAGCAGCCGCGGUAAUACGGAGGAUGCGAGCGUUAUCCGGAUUUAUUGGGUUUAAAGGGAGCGUAGACGGGAUGUUAAGUCAGUUGUGAAAGGCUGCGGCUCAACCGCAGCACUGCAGUUGAUACUGGUUUCCUUGAGUGCGGUUGAGGUGUAUGGAAUUCGUGGUGUAGCGGUGAAAUGCUUAGAUAUCACGAA